This 1126-nucleotide long non-coding RNA is filed under the name Daucus carota (carrot). Its description in RNAcentral is "long non-coding RNA (DCAR_LNC003089)". The record is from RNAcentral. Lineage: Eukaryota; Viridiplantae; Streptophyta; Magnoliopsida; Apiales; Apiaceae.
UUAACUUUGUUUAAAGUUUAAUUUGAUCAAAACCAUGAACAUUUUCUUGAAUUGCAACAAAAAUAAUCACUUCUAGUUGUGUCUUUAUAGUACAAAAACAAAAUUGAAGAUUAUCAUUCAAACUUCCUUGCAAUGUAGACCAAAUGAAACUAUGCUAAUUUGUAAUCAAGAAACAAAAUACCUCUAUCCUCACAUUACCAACAAAAUAAAAGAACAAACUGCGGUAUCUACAAAGAAUUUUUAGAAUAUCUAUAAGGCCAUGAUCUACCGACUCUUUACAAAUCCAUCUCUGCAGAAUACAGGACACCAAACAGAUCAAAAUUUUGCUUCAUCUUAGUCAACCAUCGCCAAGAAUCUCAAGACUUUUAUCAAGAACAACAAAGGUAUGAAUUUCGAAAUUCACAUAGCAAUAUAGCAUCAUAGUCAUAGCUUAUGCCCUUAACAUAUGUAGAGAGAGUCAAGGAAACAAAAAUAUAGUAAAGAUCAUGCUUUUCAAAUUCAGACACAUACAUAAUCAGGGAAAUCGAAAUCAGUGAACUUGAACCAAGAAACAACAAGAUAACCUAAAAACUACAUAAAAUCACAACUCGAAACCAAACAUCUAGAUUUUAAAUAAAAAAAAGGGGGGGGGGGGGGGGGGCAAAAAUAAAGUACCUGAGAAAUAUGAUUUGGCAGAACAGUUGAGAGAUGAAGAGAAAGGAGCUGAAAAUAUUGAGAGGAACAAAAGAAGUUUUAAGAGGAAAACUUUGUGCGAGUAAAUGUUGACUAAGUUUAUUAUACUAGUAAAUAAUUAGAGAGCUCAUACUCUAUAUAUGUGAGUUAUGUGUGUAUGUAAUAAUUCAAGGUCCAUGAAGGAAUGCGUCCGCUCUUUGAAUAUCAUCUUUAUUUCUCCGCAGCUGCAAUUUCAUGAAGAAACGGGCAGGUUGACUAACCACCUAACACUGGCGCGUAAAGUCAAUGGGCGCGCGUGACGACUACAAAGCUCCUGCUGGGUGUCUCCACGUGGUCCUCGUAGGAUGUUUUCAGUUUAGUCCGGUUUAUUUAUGAGACUCGGUUUGUUUACACGCAAAUUGUGACAGGAUUAAAACUCACACUUUAAGAUAUUAAAGGUGGGAUUUGGGUGGCC